UUCAUUGUUCUUCAAGUCUAUUGCUGCCUUUUCCUUUAUUUUUGAAAUUAUAGUGCUGGUUUUCAGAGCUCUUUUAUAGGAAAGGAGCUAACAUUUGGUAUCAGAGCAUCCAUUGAUCUUGACGCUUGUGAGAGAAGAUAAGAGUGGCAGGAACAAGUCUUCCUUCACUUCCAAUACCAACAGUGUUUUCUAGAGAAAAUUAUGACUUUUGG
This 212-nucleotide long non-coding RNA is filed under the name Olea europaea (common olive). RNAcentral's name for it is "long non-coding RNA (OEUR_LNC012391)". Lineage: Eukaryota; Viridiplantae; Streptophyta; Magnoliopsida; Lamiales; Oleaceae. The record is from RNAcentral.